Long non-coding RNA from Dendronephthya gigantea, 1475 nucleotides. RefSeq lists it as uncharacterized. The record is from RefSeq and is a predicted model, not a curated record. The transcript is spliced from 3 exons. Lineage: Eukaryota; Metazoa; Cnidaria; Anthozoa; Malacalcyonacea; Nephtheidae.
UUAGGGAAUUACACGCAAAGUUGAUCGGGGGUUUACAGUAAAGAGGCUUAGCCUUAGAGAAUCGAGAAGCGUUGUAACGAAGAACUGUCGAGUACUGUAAACAAAUACAAACUAGAGCUUUUCGCCUCGCGCGAAAUCAUGCUAUGUUUGGCUCAGGUGAAGAAAUACGUAGAAAACGAAAAUAUUUUGUAGACGUCUUCAGUUUGGUAUUCGAGUGCCGUCCAAUUUUCAUGCAGUGGCAUUGUGGCAACAAAUUAUUUGGGUAUUUUUACAUAUGAGGUGAUGUCCUAGGACAUCAGCUUGACAACUACUUGAAGUGGGUUGAGAACAGAGGCGGAUGGUGAUGAUAAUCAAAAGUGAACGCCUCGUGUUCACAGCAAAGAUGUUACAAUAGACAACUUGGCUCGAUGUAGCGUAUCUUGCUGUUUCGGUGUCCUCCUGAUACCAUUUGAGCUUUAAAAAAACAACCAGAAGCAAGAUAUAGCAGCUUAAAGUGUAUGUCGAAAAUUAAUCUUCUUUACCUGUAUGGGAUAUUCGUUAUAAAGAACCGAUGGCAAUGUUGAACUCAAGCCCGUUAUAUAUAUCUAAUUGUGGAGACCAGGUAAAAAACACUGGUCAACUGGUAAAUAUCAGACCGGAUAAACGAUACUCGACUUGGCAAACCAUGCAGAGUACACGAGACCACAGAACCCAAAUAUUCCAUCGGCUUUGUUGAGAGACAUCAAGAGACAAGACGAUGAUGGAGUCACUUUACCCGUAAAAUUCGACUAUAGGCAUGUAACGAGCGUCAAUAAUCGAUUAAAAUAAAGACGCCACGUAUGGAGUUUGACCAUGCUUUGGUCUUCCGUAAAGAAUAAAAAAGAGCUGGUUGCUGCAGUUUCUCGAUUGUCGACCAUGCUGAGUCAGCCAAUAUAGACGUUAGACAAAGUUAUUAUUUAUAGAAAAUGACGUCGCUGUUUACGUUGGAUCUACGGAGGUAUGAUUUGUUUCAAUUUCAUAUGUACUCAAAGUGGAGUAAUUAUUGCUGUUACCAUGAAAUGAGAAUUAUCGCGAAGGUAUUUUGUAUUUAAUGUUCCGAAUCUGGGUGCAUGGGUUGAAUAACUGCGAAAGCAACAACAUUUCAUCAUUUUCAUGGUAUGUACAAUAUCACGCGUUUUUUGUUUUUGAUUUGACCUCGAAUGACGUCAAUCAUAUUCUAUUAUUUCUAAUACUGCAUUAGAAAUUACGUAUAUAAAAUAACAUGUGGAUCAUCUCAUCCAUGAUCUUGUCCAAUUUUGAUCCAAACAGACGAUUUUAAAGAAUUGAUUAUUCAACAUAUUGCGCAUGCACCACCAUCCCGGUCGCUUCCAAUUUUAAUCCAAAACGAACCAUCCAUAAAUUAAUUAUCUUGGUUUCUACACUUUGUUAACGAAAGUUGAAUGUUCUUCACUCGAUUUGCAAUUAAGGGCGCGUCUUGUAAAAUUUCACAUUCUCUC